Long non-coding RNA from Hippocampus comes (tiger tail seahorse), 703 nucleotides. RefSeq lists it as uncharacterized. The record is from RefSeq and is a predicted model, not a curated record. The transcript is spliced from 2 exons. NCBI's taxonomy places the organism in Eukaryota, Metazoa, Chordata, Actinopteri, Syngnathiformes, Syngnathidae.
GUGCCGUCUAUUUCCUGGAGAAGGCGGGAGUGGACGGGGCGGGGGAGCUCGUCACAGCUGCAGCCCGCUCGGGGCACGUUCGUCGCCGGCUACCCUUCUCCCCAUUGUCGGGCCUGGAUCGGAGACACCGGUGGAAGAGUGGAAAUCAAAUGGAGAGCAUCUGUCAAGAUUGUCACGACUCCUAGAUUUGAGAAAAAAAAAAUGGCAAAGCGAGAAGGGACGAUAAGUCGUGUCGAUUCAUCAUUUCAAUGAGCAUUGGAGGCAAAAUGGAGCAGUGCGCUACAUAGAUGGAGCCGCAUGAGGCGCUGCUGAGGAACCGUUGACUAGUUUGUUGACAAAGAAGAAAUUCCCUUUUUUUUUUCUCCCCCCUCAUAUGUCAAUGUCUUCCUUUUGGUAAAAUUACAAAUUUUCUUGAAAUAUUUACUUUUUGUAAAUGUCAAAUUUUUGUUCAAAUAAAAUUCAGACAUUUUGUUGUUGUAAAAUCCCGACUUCAUUCUGGUGAAAUUUAAAGAUAUUUCUUGGAAAGUUACAACUUUUUUUGUGAUAUUAUCACAUUGGUAUAAAAUACCAAUUCAAUCGAUUAUUCUAUAUUUUCAAAAGCAGUUAUUUCAAGUGGUCACUUCAGCUACAAAUCCUGAAACUCUGAUAGUUAUCCGUGGUAAAAUACCCUUUUUCCUGAUGACAAAAAAAAAAAAAAAAAAAA